CACAAUAAUUGAGACGCAGUAUCAUCGGUUCCUCGUCUCAAUCGUCUGUAACGACAAUGAGCGGGACUUGCAAGUACUCGUGUGACACUGCUACACACACCCUCCAAUGGAUCAACGCCAUCAUCGACUUCCUCAGACCCUAUGCCUUCUUGAUACAUAGUCACGUGGUCAAUUUCUUCAAGGAUAGACAAUGGGAAGCUGUUGAUAAAGAAUGGAUGGAUUGCCUGAGGAAGGACCCUGUCGAAAAUCUUCUGCUUAUUCCUUCUGGAGUGGUCCAGGAUCACUGGCCUGUUUCACUGAAGGAUUUUGUACUAAACUUGAGGUCUCUUGUCUUUCCAAGAGAGCCGGCGGACUUGCACAUGUCAUUACCUGGCAUGCACAUGGUUUCAGUAAAUAGCGUUCUUGCUCAGGGCAUGAAUAUGAAGAAAAAACAUGAAGUAGAAGUUCUUUCUGCUAUUGUUAGUUCAAUUGCUGACAGUGUAAGAGCUCAUACCAUUGUCGAUGUUGGUGCUGGCCAGGGUUAUCUUGCACAAGUAUUAUCCUUUCAGUAUCAACACUCUGUGAUUGCGAUUGAUGCAUGUUCUCACCAUGGAAGGGUCACAGAUGCACGUGCAGAACGAAUAAAGAAGCAUUAUGCAGCUCAAAUGCGUAAAUCUAAAUCAGGAAACGGGAGGUUCAAUGUGCCCAAGACAGUCACAUGUCGUGUAAUUUCCAUUGACAUGUUGAAAACAUUGACGGGCAUGUCUCUUCAUAAAGGCGAUGCUGAGCACCUUGGAUUUUUUGAAGAAGAUAACACAAAACUUAUAGAAGAAAAACCAAAAUCUCAAUGUGUUGCAAACAGUGGUACUUCAUUGGUACUUGCAGGACUUCAUGCUUGCGGUGAUCUUUCAGUAACAAUGCUCAAGGCCUUUUUGGAGUGCAAAGAAGCUAAAGCUGUUGUUAGCAUUGGGUGUUGUUACAACUUAUUGUCCGAAGAAGGUGCUGACAAUAUUGAAACCCACUGUGGAUUUCCUAUGAGUAGUGGUGUUAAGUCAGCUGUCUUUCCACUUGGAAAGAGUUCUCGUGAUCUUGCUUGCCAGAGUGCUGAGCGAUGGAGAAGCCUGGAAAAAGAUGACGGCCUUCAUAAUUUUGAGUUGCAUUCUUUUCGUGCUGCUUUCCAGUUGGUUCUUUCUAAAUAUUAUCCAGAAGUCAUGGAAACAAGCCCUUCUAUUGGUCGUCAAGGAAAGGCUUUGCGUCGCAGACAGCAGAGGAAAGUGGAAGCUCCAUUGCAUCAUAAAGAAGUUGCAUGUCCACAUUUUCAUCCAAACCAGAAAGGAAGUUUCCCUAACAUAGACCCCAAUGAACCUGAAACAGAUGAAACAUCACGCUUGGCAACAGACAAAGAUGCCUUAUUGAAUGGAAUUUCAUCCUGUGAGAGUACAAGAUGUGUAGGGCCUAAAUCUGUUGACAAAUAUAAACAUUUUGAGAAGUUCACCCGGUCUGGAUUAUGUCGUCUUGGUCUCAAACCUUUGGAGAGGAUAAAUUUUCAUGAAAUAUGGAAGGAAGCAGAGCCAUUCACUGAACUUAUAGGACCUUACUGGUCCCUUAGAGCUGCUUUGGGGCCUCUUUUGGAAACUUUUCUUCUGCUUGAUCGAUUAUUGUUCCUCCAGGAGCAAGGCCAUUCAGUUGAGGUUAUGAUGUUACCUAUUUUUGAUCCAGAGGUAUCCCCAAGAAAUGUUGCUAUAAUUGCAAGAAAGAAUUUGCCACAAAUAUGAUAACUUAGCCAAAAGAGGGGAAAAACUCUGCAGUAUUAACAGAUAAUUUUGAUGGUUCAGUUGAAGAACAAGAAUAUGAAGUUUUAGUAAGAAUUUGGACGUUACACAACUUGUCUCCAACCAUUCUCCAUCUCGUCGAACAUAGCUCCUGUGCCCCCGAGCCACUCCCCACCACACUUGGGCACUGCCCAUGCCAAUAAACCACGCCAAUUUUCUCUUGGUGCCUAGGCUGAUAUUGGCCAGUGGUAAAACAGAACUAUUCCCAACUUUCAAACGGUACAACUUUUUCUCACCAGAUUAUGUAUGCAUGUAUGUACGACAAAUCCUGUAUGAACAUGUUCUUUUCUAAACAAAAGUCGUAUGUUGUUAUGAUGCUUACUGUUCGAAGUGGUUACUUACCAUUGUUUCAUAUGUUAAUCGUCCCAAGUGAACAAUCUUAUGAUGAGUAGGGACUUUAGGACCAGGUGAAGCUUUUGUAGAUGAGGCUGGAUCUUAGAACUUUACAGCUUUCCAAGAGAUUUUCAGUUUAUGUUUUCGUAAUUAGUGAGGAAAUUUUGUGAAUCAACACUAGACAUGAACAAUUUGAACUGUUUGUACACUUCAUUUAAUAAAAUUUGCAUUG
This is an RNA transcript of Juglans regia (Persian walnut), 2376 nucleotides long. It is a transcript of the gene named protein RRNAD1, with no coding region annotated. Lineage: Eukaryota; Viridiplantae; Streptophyta; Magnoliopsida; Fagales; Juglandaceae. The record is from RefSeq and is a predicted model, not a curated record. The transcript has 14 exons.